GUCGCUUCGCUUUUCUUGCCUCGGUGGGCGAAAGUAAAAUUUGAACGCUGUCUACCUCUUUUGAAGAUUUGGAAGUUAACCUGGAAAAUAAACUAGCGAAACCAGCUGAAUGAUGCUUGGAUGGAAAAUAACCAGUGAGAGACCUUCGAAUGAUCUUGUAGAGUGGGUAAUUUAGAAAUUUGAAAAUUAUACCAAGGAAGUUUCUUUGCCAAAGAAGUCUAGAUUGCAGAACUGGAAAAAGUUAAUUGCGCUCAUCAUGAUGUCAAGAUGCAAAAACGUGUUUGUGGAAGAACCUGAAGUAGACACUAAAAAGUUUGUAGAUCUGUUUGUGAGAUGACACGAGAAGGUCAGAUGGUACACCAACAGGUCAUUAACAUUGAUCCCAUGCACGACCUUCAGAACACCGAUUCCACCGGGUACAGGAACC
Megachile rotundata (alfalfa leafcutting bee) is the source of this 427-nucleotide long non-coding RNA. The record is from RefSeq and is a predicted model, not a curated record. Lineage: Eukaryota; Metazoa; Arthropoda; Insecta; Hymenoptera; Megachilidae.